This 484-nucleotide ribosomal RNA is filed under the name uncultured bacterium. RNAcentral's name for it is "partial 16S ribosomal RNA". It matches the Rfam family "Bacterial small subunit ribosomal RNA", at positions 30 to 507 of the family's 1533-position model. The record is from RNAcentral.
AUUGAACGCUGGCGGCAUGCUUUACACAUGCAAGUCGAACGGCAGCGCGGGCUUCGGCCUGGAGGCGAGUGGCGAACGGGUGAGUAAUUCAUCGGAACGUGCCCAGUAGUGGGGGAUAGCUCGGCGAAAGCCGGAUUAAUACCGCAUACGACCUGAGGGUGAAAGCGGGGGAUCUUCGGACAUCGCGCUAUUUGAUCGGCCGAUGGCAGAUUAGCUAGUUGGUGGGGUAAAGGCCUACCAAGGCGACGAUCUGUAGCUGGUCUGAGAGGACGACCAGCCACACUGGGACUGAGACACGGCCCAGACUCCUACGGGAGGCAGCAGUGGGGAAUUUUGGACAAUGGGCGAAAGCCUGAUCCAGCAAUGCCGCGUGUGUGAUGAAGGCCUUCGGGUUGUAAAGCACUUUUGGCGGGAACGAAAAGGACUGUGCCAAUACCACGGUUCGAUGACGGUACCCGCAGAGUAAGCACCGGCUAACUACGUG